This 917-nucleotide long non-coding RNA is filed under the name Equus asinus (donkey). RNAcentral's name for it is "lncRNA (ENSEASG00005025401.1)". The record is from RNAcentral. Lineage: Eukaryota; Metazoa; Chordata; Mammalia; Perissodactyla; Equidae.
CUUAGGGGUCCUGAGACAUAUCGGGGGACCCUCAGCCCCCGAUAGAACAGAUCCCAGCUUGAAGCAAGUGUCUGGGGACUCCUAGCUCUAACUCUCCCUCUCCACUGGACGAGCUCCAUGAGGCUGUGUUGUGGAAGGAGUAGGACUCGGUGGAACAGGAAUGCAUUCUGGCCAGUCUGAGAAUCGCUAGAAUGUGCCAAGCUCAGAUUCAGAUGCCAGUGACCGAAGAUCUGUGGGUGUAACCACAACGAGGGCUGGGCACAUGGAGGAGAGACUGGAGCUGCUCUCUCGGAGUUUCUGCUUGGGCCACUGCUUCCUCAUCCUGGCAAGGUAGGGCCAGGCACGGGGGACAGAGUCCUGCUUCCAUCCUGCUUUCCCCUCGGCUUUGGGUGAGCUCUAAUGACUUGGGAGUGAAUCAGCACAGACUGAGAUGAUACGAUAGGGAAGAAAGGAGACGACAGCACCGAGGCUGGAAAUGUCACCUCUCCCAGGACCAGCCUCAGGAAACACACUCGGGGUCUGGACAGUGCUGGAGGCGAAUGGACACCUGCCCGGCCCGGCCACAUCUUCUGCACGUGCUCACGGCUCCUGUCUUCACAUCCCACAGGCACGUAGACCACCGGCCUUGCUCACUGUCCACUGAGACCAGUAGUCACUGUCGAGCCCUCGUGAAAACUUGUUAGCUUUUUCCAAGAGAGACACAGCCUCAAAGGCACCCGAGAAGAGAGAGCACAGAAACACUUGCACUGAUCAUUUAGUCAUUUCUUCAUUUAACAUGCGUGUUUUGAGCAACUGCGGGGUGCUGUGCACUGAGCCGCCACAGUGGGGGCACAGCGGUGAACAAGACAGGCCCAUGGGAGAGACACAGGGUCUGAGGACAGGGCCAGGUCUCUUCCCCGACCUCCUUGCCAGGGCCA